GAAACAAGUCAAUAAAUGGUGCAGAAUCGAUCUCCUUUUGAAUUACUCCUAUAUAUCAUCUCUAUCCAUUGCAAUUCUGCGCUGUCCCAAAUUCUUCAAUUAUCAGUCAGCUUCUUCCAAUUGCUUCAUCUCUCUCCUCAGUCCUGCGAUCUUCCUACAUUGUAGCGGAAUUAAGGGUGAUUUAGAGCUAAUUGGUGUUAAGAUCAUUUAUUUCGCUGUUCGAAGAAUCGAGAAUGAGUCAUAUCCUAACGAUAUGUUUCUCCUCUGAUUUUAGAUCGCCAUUUUUAUUAUUCAUUUUCUGUUCUUGUGUGUGUGUGUGUGUGUUUUAUCUCAUGUUGAUUGAUUUUGCUGGACGGGAGAGUUUGAUUAAGUAUAAAAACUAGUUAUUCCUGUCAUUUUUGGAAUUUAUUCCUCUGGCAAAGAUAAUCUGAGAUUUGAGUUUAAGAUUUCUCAAUCUUAGAAAUUAGGGCUUUUUGUUUGGGAAUAUGGCAUAUUUUGGAUUCUUUUUUGAUAUUGCACCCCUAUUGCAAUUUAGAUUGUGUGAUGUUAUGAUUUUUAUCAAAGAUUUAGUCUUUUCAAUUAGAGUGGUCAGUUUAGGUUCUGUGAUGUUUAUGAUUUUCAUCAAGCAUCUAAGCUGUUCAAUCAUGGGCAUUAUUAAGGCUUCUAUUUAGGGAACAUGAGCACAAGCCUACAUUGUUAGUAGUUGAUCUAGCUUCUGUUUAUGCCUUGACCUAUGCUAACGGGGAAACCAAAGAGAGCGUGAUCGCGUGAGGGCUCAGGCGAGGAACGGCCAGAAGCCCAGGAACCCAAAGGAUGAUGGAUUGACCCCGGAACAGAGACAAGAGAGGGACGCGAAGGCGUUGCAGGAAAAAGGCAGCGAAGAAGGCAGCUCAGGCUGCAGUAGGAGGGAAGGCAAGUGCAGAUCAUACUAAAAACCACAAUAAGAAAUAGGAGGUGUUUAUCCAUCUGCUUCUUUGAAGGGUGGUAUUGGUGGAUCAGAUGUUGUGGUUUUAGAUUUGUUAUUGUGCUCUAUAUUGUUAUCUGGCUUUGUUCAUUGGUUCAUUGAGUGAUCAUUCUAGAUCUGAAUAUGUGUCAACAAUGGUGUUUCUGGCCCUUGUAUCUGAUUUUUCAAUGCAAUUUCCUUUUAGUUUGCCAA
Molecule: long non-coding RNA, 1156 nt
Organism: Salvia splendens (bonfire salvia)
Lineage: Eukaryota; Viridiplantae; Streptophyta; Magnoliopsida; Lamiales; Lamiaceae
Exons: 3
Source: RefSeq, a predicted model, not a curated record